CAGUAGCCACGGUAAUACGAAGGGUGCAAGCGUUAAUCGGAAUUACUGGGCGUAAAGCGUGCGUAGGCGGUGAGUUAAGUCUGCUGUGAAAUCCCCGGGCUCAACCUGGGAAUGGCAGUGGAUACUGGCUCGCUAGAGUGUGUCAGAGGAUGGUGGAAUUCCCGGUGUAGCGGUGAAAUGCGUAGAGAUCGGGAGGAACAUCAGUGGCGAAGGCGGCCAUCUGGGACAACACUGACGCUGAGGCACGAAAGCGUGGGGAGCAAACAGGAUUAGAUACCCCAGUAGUCCCUGUCUCUUAUAC
Molecule: ribosomal RNA, 301 nt
Filed under: uncultured bacterium
Lineage: Bacteria
Description: partial 16S ribosomal RNA
Rfam family: Bacterial small subunit ribosomal RNA
Source: RNAcentral